This 2520-nucleotide long non-coding RNA is filed under the name Homo sapiens (human). RNAcentral describes it as "non-protein coding LINC02268:13". The record is from RNAcentral. Lineage: Eukaryota; Metazoa; Chordata; Mammalia; Primates; Hominidae.
ACACAGAGAUUGGAGAGAGACAGGAGAGAGACAUGUUUUCAUCUAUCCUUUGUGGACUUCUGUUGUUUUUACUGCUGUGAAAUUUGACUUGCGAUAUCUGCUUAAAGCAAUGAAGAGAAAAGCUGAAGUCAGUGAUUAGGAGUGUCUGUGUAAGUAAAAGCAACAGGCAAUUACUGAGUGUGGUGUGAGAGGCACGGAAAGAUUGGGAAUUCAGCAAGAAGAGGAAUUGAAGUCAAACCUCACCUACUUCCCAGAGUCUUCUGGAUUUUCUGUUAGAAGCUUCAGUAUCUGAGGAAAGGACUCAGGCAACAAAUAAACAGCUAAGAUUUUACUAGAGUAUGAAAGGGAGAGCACUGGAGUGCAGUGCGGGGAUGGAGAUGCAGCUGUGGUGGCUGGAAGUACAGGAGGGCAGCUGGAGGCACCUGGCCUCUGAAGCCUGUCUUCUUCAUCUGGGUGAGAUCUGCUGGAGUCAGGAAGGACUUCCUGCUGCAAGGAUAAAGACCUAAGAAGCAUCAUGACCUGAGAAACAGUUUCACAGGCCACUCUUGGCAGGGUUUAGGGGUUUUGCUCUGUCACGCAGGUGAAGUGUGGUGGCGUAAUCAUGACUCACUGCAGCCUCGAACUCCGGGACUCAAGCUAAUCUCUUUCCUCAGCCUUCCCAGCAGCUGGGACUACAGAAUCCCACCCAUCCUAAGGCAUUACAUUUAGUCAUCAUAGCUCUUUCUUCACAGAAUUAGAAAAAACUACUUUAAAUUUCAUAUGGAACCAAAAAAGAGCCCAUAUAGCCAAGAAAAUCUUAAGCAAAAAGAACAAAGAUGGAGGCAUCAUGCUAACUGACUUCAAACUAUACUACAAGGCUACAGUAACCAAAACAGCAUGGUACUGGUGCCAAAACAGAUAUAUAGACCAAUGGAAUAGAACAGAGGCCUCAGAAAAACGUCACCCAUCUACAACCAUCUGAUCUUCAACAAAUCUGACAAAAACAAAUAAUGGGGAAGAAAUUCUGUAUUUAAUAAAUGAUCUUGGGAAAACUGGCUAGCCACAUGCAGAAAACUGAAGCUGGGCUCCUUCCUUACACCUUAUACAAAAAUUAACUCAAGAUGGAUUAAAGACUUAAACGUAAGACCUAAAACCAUAGAAACCCUAGAAGAAUACCUAGGCAAUACCAUUGAGGACACAGACAUGGGCAAAUGACUAAAGCAACAAAAGCCAAAAUUGACAAAUGGGAGCUAAUUAAACUAAAGAGCUUCUGAACAGCAAAAGAAACUAUCAUCAGAGUGAACAGGCAACCUACAGAAUGGGAGAAAAUUUUUGCAAUCUAUCCACCUGACAAAGGGCUAAUAUCCAGAAUCUACAAAUAACUUAAACAAAUUUACAAGAAAAAAAACAAACAACCCCAUCAAGAAGUGGGUGAAGGAUAUGAAAAGACACUUCUCAAAAGAAGACAUUUAUGUGGCCAACAAACAUGAAAAAAAGCUCAUCAUCACUGGGCAUUAGAGAAAUGCAAAUCAAAACCACAAUGAGAUACCAUCUCACGCCAGUUAGAAUGGCGAUCUUUAAAAAGUCAGGAAACAACAGAUGCUGGAGAGGAUGUGGAGAGAUAGGAAUGCUUUUACACUGUUGGUAGGAGUGUAAAUUAGUUCAGCAAUUGUGGAAGACUGUGUGGAGAUUCCUCAAGGAUCUAGAACCAGAAAUGCCAUUUGACCGAGCAAUCCCAUUACUGGCUAUAUACCCAAAGGAUUAUAAAUCAUUCUACUAUAGAGACACAUCCACCUGUAUGUUGAUUGCAGCACUGUUCACAAUAGCAAAGACUUGGAACCAAUGCAAAUGCCCAUCAAUGAUCGGCUGGAUAAAGAAAAUGUGGCACAUAUACACCGUGAAAUACUAUGUAGCCAUAAAAAAGGAUGAGUUCAUGUCCUUUGCAGGGAUAUGGAUGAAGCUGGAAACCAUCAUUCUCUGCAAACUAAUACAGGAACAGAAUGCCAAACACCACAUGUUCUCACUCAUAAGUGGGAGUUGAACAAUGAGAACACAUGAAUACCGGGAGGGAACAUCACACACCAGGGCCUGUCAGAGGGUCGGGGGCUAGGGAAGGGAUAGCAUUAGGAGAAAUACCUAAUGUAGAUUAUGGGUUGAUGGGUGCAGCAAACCACCAUGGCACAUGUAUAGCUAUGUAACAAACCUGCACGUUCUACACAUGUAUCCCAGAACUUAAAGCAUAAGUAAAAUAAAAAAAUAAUUAAAUGAGGAAGAAGAGUCAAAUUUUUGUGCAGAAAAAUUUGAAAGAAUUUAUGUAGAUACUACUUCCUCAAUGAGGAAGAGCAUAACUCUAUGCUCUUUAAGUCGGACAUGAACAUACUCAUUUCUUUCAAAAGAGUACAAUAUGAAAAGAGGGAAAAAGAAUAACUGUACAGUAAAGAAACCUGACAAUUGCUACCUUGGCCAAGUGACCCAGGUCAACAUCAACAGUGAUAGUGACGUUUAUGUCAUGUCCACUUGAAAUGAUGUGAUUAAAAAAAG